CCGGAGUGGACGCAUCACUGGUGUUCGGGUUGUCAUGCCAAUGGCACUGCCCGGUAGCUAAAUGCGGAAGAGAUAAGUGCUGAAAGCAUCUAAGCACGAAACUUGCCCCGAGAUGAGUUCUCCCUGAGACUUUAAGUCUCCUGAAGGAACGUUAAAGACGAUGACGUUGAUAGGCCGGGUGUGUAAGCGCAGCGAUGCGUUGAGCUAACCGGUACUAAUGAACCGUGAGGCUUAACCUU
Molecule: ribosomal RNA, 239 nt
Filed under: Klebsiella pneumoniae
Lineage: Bacteria; Pseudomonadati; Pseudomonadota; Gammaproteobacteria; Enterobacterales; Enterobacteriaceae
Also listed under: 1 other name
Description: partial 23S ribosomal RNA
Rfam family: Bacterial large subunit ribosomal RNA
Source: RNAcentral